GACGAACGCUGGCGGCGUGCUUAACACAUGCAAGUCGAACGGAAAGGCCCUGCUUUUGUGGGGUGCUCGAGUGGCGAACGGGUGAGUAACACGUGAAUAACCUGCCCUUGACUUUGGGAUAACUUCAGGAAACUGGGGCUAAUACCGGAUAGGAGCUCCUGCUGCGUGGUGGGGGUUGGAAAGUUUCGGCGGUUGGGGAUGGACUCGCGGCUUAUCAGCUUGUUGGUGGGGUAGUGGCUUACCAAGGCUUUGACGGGUAGCCGGCCUGAGAGGGUGACCGGCCACAUUGGGACUGAGAUACGGCCCAGACUCCUACGGGAGGCAGCAGUGGGGAAUAUUGCACAAUGGGCGGAAGCCUGAUGCAGCAACGCCGCGUGCGGGAUGACGGCCUUCGGGUUGUAAACCGCUUUCGCCUGUGACGAAGCGUGAGUGACGGUAAUGGGUAAAGAAGCACCGGCUAACUACGU
RNAcentral lists this ribosomal RNA (467 nucleotides) under uncultured bacterium. Its description in RNAcentral is "partial 16S ribosomal RNA". It matches the Rfam family "Bacterial small subunit ribosomal RNA", at positions 28 to 506 of the family's 1533-position model. The record is from RNAcentral.